Molecule: ribosomal RNA, 410 nt
Filed under: uncultured Lachnospiraceae bacterium
Lineage: Bacteria; Bacillati; Bacillota; Clostridia; Lachnospirales; Lachnospiraceae
Description: bacterial SSU rRNA
Rfam family: Bacterial small subunit ribosomal RNA
Source: RNAcentral
UGAGGAAUAUUGGUCAAUGGGCGCAAGCCUGAACCAGCCAAGUCGCGUGAGGGAAGACGGUCCUAUGGAUUGUAAACCUCUUUUGUCAGGGAGCAAGCGCGGGACGCGUCCCGUAGCUGAGAGUACCUGAAGAAAAAGCAUCGGCUAACUCCGUGCCAGCAGCCGCGGUAAUACGGAGGAUGCGAGCGUUAUCCGGAUUUAUUGGGUGUAAAGGGAGCGCAGACGGCAUGGCAAGCCAGAUGUGAAAGGUGGGGGCUCAACCCCCAAGCUGCAUUUGGAACUGUCAAGCUAGAGUAUCGGAGAGGUAAGUGGAAUUCCUAGUGUAGCGGUGAAAUGCGUAGAUAUUAGGAGGAACACCAGUGGCGAAGGCGGCUUACUGGACGAUAACUGACGUUGAGGCUCGAAAGCGU